Molecule: ribosomal RNA, 373 nt
Filed under: uncultured bacterium
Lineage: Bacteria
Description: bacterial SSU rRNA
Rfam family: Bacterial small subunit ribosomal RNA
Source: RNAcentral
GUAGUCCACGCCCUAAACGAUGUCUACUAGUUGUCGGGUUUUAAUUAACUUGGUAACGCAGCUAACGCGUGAAGUAGACCGCCUGGGGAGUACGGUCGCAAGAUUAAAACUCAAAGGAAUUGACGGGGACCCGCACAAGCGGUGGAUGAUGUGGAUUAAUUCGAUGCAACGCGAAAAACCUUACCUACCCUUGACAUGGCAGAGAUCCCGGAGAGAUUCGGGAGUGCUCGAAAGAGAAUCUGCACACAGGUGCUGCAUGGCUGUCGUCAGCUCGUGUCGUGAGAUGUUGGGUUAAGUCCCGCAACGAGCGCAACCCUUGUCAUUAGUUGCUACGAAAGAGCACUCUAAUGAGACUGCCGGUGACAAACCGGAG